Molecule: ribosomal RNA, 433 nt
Filed under: uncultured bacterium
Lineage: Bacteria
Description: partial 16S ribosomal RNA
Rfam family: Bacterial small subunit ribosomal RNA
Source: RNAcentral
AACGAACGCUGGCGGCAGGCCUAACACAUGCAAGUCGAGCGAGCAUUUCGGUGCUAGCGGCGGACGGGUGAGUAACGCGUGGGAACGUGCCCUUUUCUGCGGAAUAGUCCUGGGAAACUGGGGGUAAUACCGCAUACGCCCUUUUGGGGAAAGAUUUAUCGGAGAAGGAUCGGCCCGCGUUGGAUUAGGUAGUUGGUGGGGUAAUGGCCCACCAAGCCGACGAUCCAUAGCUGGUUUGAGAGGAUGAUCAGCCACACUGGGACUGAGACACGGCCCAGACUCCUACGGGAGGCAGCAGUGGUGAAUCUUAGACAAUGGGGGCAACCCUGAUCUAGCCAUGCCGCGUGAGUGAUGAAGGCCUUAGGGUUGUAAAGCUCUUUCAGCUGGGAAGAUAAUGACGGUACCAGCAGAAGAAGCCCCGGCUAACUCCGUG